UUUGAAGAAACCGCAUUGACAAUUUUGGAUGAUGGCGAGAGCUAAGAUAGGCGAGAUAUCCAUCUUGAAUCCUAGUCUCAGGAGUGUGUGGUAUCCACCACGUUCCAUUUCCAUCCUUAUUGAAAAGUUUUAAAUAUGAAUUAAGUAUUUUUGAGUUUUUAUUGUGAAAAUGGCUUGACGUUGGAUCAAGCAUUUGAUGAGAGAUUGAGAA
This 211-nucleotide long non-coding RNA is filed under the name Lathyrus oleraceus (garden pea). RNAcentral's name for it is "Pisum sativum (pea) long non-coding RNA (PSAT_LNC012472)". The record is from RNAcentral. Lineage: Eukaryota; Viridiplantae; Streptophyta; Magnoliopsida; Fabales; Fabaceae.